RNAcentral lists this ribosomal RNA (253 nucleotides) under uncultured bacterium. RNAcentral's name for it is "partial 16S ribosomal RNA". It matches the Rfam family "Bacterial small subunit ribosomal RNA", at positions 524 to 776 of the family's 1533-position model. The record is from RNAcentral.
UACGGGGGGGGCAAGCGUUGUUCGGAAUUACUGGGCGUAAAGGGCUCGUAGGCGGCCAACUAAGUCGGAUGUGAAAUCCCCAGGCUUAACCUGGGAACUGCAUCCGAUACUGGAUGGCUUGAAUCCGGGAGAGGGAUGCGGAAUUCCAGGUGUAGCGGUGAAAUGCGUAGAUAUCUGGAGGAACACCGGUGGCGAAGGCGGCAUCCUGGACCAAUACUGACACUGAGGAGCGAAAGCCAGGGGAGCAAACGGG